This 628-nucleotide long non-coding RNA is filed under the name Mytilus galloprovincialis (Mediterranean mussel). Lineage: Eukaryota; Metazoa; Mollusca; Bivalvia; Mytilida; Mytilidae. The record is from RNAcentral.
AUUUUAUUUAAUUGGCUUUGUAAUAAUGCCAGAUUUGAAAGAAAUACAUGUGAAGUAUAUGUAAAAAUCGUUUUGUUCAAAAUAAAAUGUUAAAAGACAUAUAAAAAGAAAGAGAUUUGUAAGCUUUAAUUAGUUGAAAAAUAAGCUAUAAAAUAUUACAAAAAUGUAUAUGUACAAUAAAUUUGUCAAAUUUGAGACUCCUUGUGAAGGGGAUGCAUAUAAUCAUUCGGCCCCCCCCAAAAAAAAGAAAUCAUGAACGUUCCAAAAAAGGAGUCCCGUUCUCCUAACUUUAGUUUGCCUCAACCAAAAUUAGGAAAUACUACAAAACUUAUACACAAUAUAAAAAAGAAAAUGUGGCAUGAGUGUCAAUGAGAACUCUCCACAAGAGACCAAAUGACUCAGAAAUUAACAACUAUAGGUCACCAUACGGCCUUCAACAAUGAGCAAAGUCCAUACACAAUAGUCAGCUAUAAAAGGCAUACGAAAUGACAAUGUAAAACAAUUCAAACGAGAGAACUAACGGCCUAAUUUAUGUACAAAAAACAAAUAUGUAACACAUAAAUAAACGACAAUCACUGAAUUACAGGCUCCUGACUUGGGACAGGCACAUACAUACAGAAUAAGGCGG